RNAcentral lists this ribosomal RNA (327 nucleotides) under uncultured eukaryote. Its description in RNAcentral is "partial 18S ribosomal RNA". It matches the Rfam family "Eukaryotic small subunit ribosomal RNA", at positions 1470 to 1796 of the family's 1831-position model. The record is from RNAcentral.
CCCUUAGAUGUUCUGGGCCGCACGCGCGCUACACUGACGAAUGCAACGAGCUUAUAACCUUGGCCGAAAGGUCUGGGUAAUCUCCAAAUUUCGUCGUGAUGGGGAUAGAUUAUUGCAAUUAUUAAUCUUCAACGAGGAAUGCCUAGUAAGCGCAAGUCAUCAGCUUGCGUUGAUUACGUCCCUGCCCUUUGUACACACCGCCCGUCGCUCCUACCGAUUGAAUGGUCCGGUGAAGCGUACGGACCGUGGCCUUUGGACGGUUCGCCGUCUGUUGGCUGCGGGAAGUUCGUUAAACCUUAUCAUUUAGAGGAAGGAGAAGUCGUAACA